RNAcentral lists this ribosomal RNA (689 nucleotides) under uncultured Methanosaeta sp. RNAcentral describes it as "bacterial SSU rRNA". It matches the Rfam family "Archaeal small subunit ribosomal RNA", at positions 83 to 776 of the family's 1478-position model. Lineage: Archaea; Methanobacteriati; Methanobacteriota; Methanomicrobia; Methanotrichales; Methanotrichaceae. The record is from RNAcentral.
CGGCUCAGUAACACGUGGAUAACCUACCCUUGAGACGGGGAUAAACCCGGGAAACUGGGUAUAAUACCCGAUAGAUCUCGACUGCUGGAAUGCAUCGAGCUUGAAAGCUCCGGCGCUCAAGGAUGGGUCUGCGGCCUAUCAGGUAGUAGUGGGUGUAGCGUACCUACUAGCCUACGACGGGUACGGGUUGUGAGAGCAAGAGCCCGGAGAUGGAUUCUGAGACACGAAUCCAGGCCCUACGGGGUGCAGCAGGCGCGAAAACUUUACAAUGCUGGAAACAGCGAUAAGGGGACCUCGAGUGCCAGGUUACAAAUCUGGCUGUCGUGAUGCCUAAAAAGCAUUGCAUAGCAAGGGCCGGGCAAGACCGGUGCCAGCCGCCGCGGUAACACCGGCGGCUCGAGGGGUAACCGUUAUUAUUGGGUCUAAAGGGUCUGUAGCCGGCCGGAUAAGUCUCUUGGGAAAUCUGGCAGCUUAACUGUCAGGCUUUCAGGAGAUACUGUCUGGCUCGAGGCCGGGAGAGGUGAGAGGUACUUCAGGGGUAGGGGUGAAAUCUUGUAAUCCUUGAAGGACCACCAGUGGCGAAGGCGUCUCACCAGAACGGACCUGACGGCAAGGGACGAAAGCUAGGGGCACGAACCGGAUUAGAUACCCGGGUAGUCCUAGCCGUAAACGAUACUCGCUAGGUGUCG